GUGAAUCAUCGAAUCUUUGAACGCACAUUGCGCCCCUUGGUAUUCCAUGGGGCAUGCCUGUUCGAGCGUCAUUUGAACCCUCAAGCUCUGCUUGGUGUUGGGUGUUUGUCCCGCCAUUGCGCGUGGACUCGCCUUAAAGUGAUUGGCAGCCAUGUAAUUCGGCUUUGAGCGCAGCACAUUGCGUACUCUAUGCUGGUACAUUGGCAUCCAAAAGCCCUUUUUUUUACUCUUGACCUCGGAUCAGGUAGGGAUACCCGCUGAACUUAAGCAUAUCAAUAAGCGGAGGA
Molecule: unclassified non-coding RNA, 287 nt
Filed under: Acrocalymma sp.
Lineage: Eukaryota; Fungi; Ascomycota; Dothideomycetes; Pleosporales; Acrocalymmaceae
Description: partial contains 5.8S ribosomal RNA, internal transcribed spacer 2, and large subunit ribosomal RNA
Rfam family: 5.8S ribosomal RNA (bases 1-71)
Source: RNAcentral